This 548-nucleotide ribosomal RNA is filed under the name uncultured bacterium. RNAcentral describes it as "bacterial SSU rRNA". It matches the Rfam family "Bacterial small subunit ribosomal RNA", at positions 126 to 668 of the family's 1533-position model. The record is from RNAcentral.
CUGCCUGGUAGUGGGGGAUAACGUUCGGAAACGGACGCUAAUACCGCAUACGUCCUACGGGAGAAAGCAGGGGACCUUCGGGCCUUGCGCUAUCAGAUGAGCCUAGGUCGGAUUAGCUAGUUGGUGGGGUAAUGGCUCACCAAGGCUACGAUCCGUAACUGGUCUGAGAGGAUGAUCAGUCACACUGGAACUGAGACACGGUCCAUACUCCUACGGGAGGCAGCAGUGGGGAAUAUUGGACAAUGGGCGAAAGCCUGAUCCAGCCAUGCCGCGUGUGUGAAGAAGGUCUUCGGAUUGUAAAGCACUUUAAGUUGGGAGGAAGGGUUGUAGAUUAAUACUCUGCAAUUUUGACGUUACCGACAGAAUAAGCACCGGCUAACUCUGUGCCAGCAGCCGCGGUAAUACAGAGGGUGCAAGCGUUAAUCGGAAUUACUGGGCGUAAAGCGCGCGUAGGUGGUUUGUUAAGUUGGAUGUGAAAAUCCCCGGGCUCAACCUGGGAACUGCAUUCAAAACUGACUGACUAGAGUAUGGUAGAGGGUGGUGGAAUU